AUCCACUGCUAGCCACUAUCCAUCUUUGUUAAGAACGCCUGUAAAUUAAGGCAAUAUUGAGGCGAUACGCAC
This 72-nucleotide transfer RNA is filed under the name Schistosoma mansoni. The record is from RNAcentral. Lineage: Eukaryota; Metazoa; Platyhelminthes; Trematoda; Strigeidida; Schistosomatidae.